RNAcentral lists this transfer RNA (73 nucleotides) under Acanthothecis fontana. RNAcentral's name for it is "tRNA-Ala". It matches the Rfam family "tRNA". Rfam says of the family: Transfer RNA (tRNA) molecules are approximately 80 nucleotides in length. Their secondary structure includes four short double-helical elements and three loops (D, anti-codon, and T loops). Further hydrogen bonds mediate the characteristic L-shaped molecular structure. tRNAs have two regions of fundamental functional importance: the anti-codon, which is responsible for specific mRNA codon recognition, and the 3' end, to which the tRNAs corresponding amino acid is attached (by aminoacyl-tRNA synthetases). tRNAs cope with the degeneracy of the genetic code in two manners: having more than one tRNA (with a specific anti-codon) for a particular amino acid; and 'wobble' base-pairing, i.e. permitting non-standard base-pairing at the 3rd anti-codon position. Lineage: Eukaryota; Fungi; Ascomycota; Lecanoromycetes; Ostropales; Graphidaceae. The record is from RNAcentral.
GGGGAUAUAUUUAUAACUGGUAAUAAGGCGAUUUUGCAUAUUGUCAUUCCGGGUUCAAAUCCUGGUAUCUCCA